UGGGGAAUAUUGGGCAAUGGGGGAAACCCUGACCCAGCAACGCCGCGUGAAGGACGAAGGCCUUCGGGUUGUAAACUUCUUUGAUCAGGGACGAAACAAAUGACGGUACCUGAAGAACAAGCCACGGCUAACUACGUGCCAGCAGCCGCGGUAAUACGUAGGUGGCAAGCGUUAUCCGGAUUUACUGGGUGUAAAGGGCGUGUAGGCGGGUCUGCAAGUCGGAUGUGAAAUUCCCGGGCUUAACUCGGGCAGGUCAUCCGAAACUGCGGAUCUUGAGUACUGGAGAGGAUAGUGGAAUUCCUAGUGUAGCGGUAAAAUGCGUAGAUAUUAGGAGGAACACCAGUGGCGAAGGCGGCUAUCUGGACAGUAACUGACGCUGAGGCGCGAAAGCGUGGGGAGCAAACA
RNAcentral lists this ribosomal RNA (405 nucleotides) under uncultured prokaryote. RNAcentral describes it as "bacterial SSU rRNA". It matches the Rfam family "Bacterial small subunit ribosomal RNA", at positions 355 to 774 of the family's 1533-position model. The record is from RNAcentral.